Molecule: ribosomal RNA, 118 nt
Organism: Capsicum annuum
Lineage: Eukaryota; Viridiplantae; Streptophyta; Magnoliopsida; Solanales; Solanaceae
Source: RefSeq, a predicted model, not a curated record
GGAUGCGAUCAUUCCAGCACUAACGCACCGGAUCCCAUCAGAACUCCGAAGUGAAGCGUGCUAGGGGGAGAGUAGUAUUAGGAUCGGUGACCCCCUGGAAGUCCUUAUGUUGCAUCCC